Molecule: long non-coding RNA, 815 nt
Filed under: Homo sapiens (human)
Lineage: Eukaryota; Metazoa; Chordata; Mammalia; Primates; Hominidae
Description: LHRI_LNC612.1
Source: RNAcentral
CUCAUGGAUAUUUAUUUUGUACUUUUCAUUAUAAUCCAAUACUAUGUUAUUUAUAUUGUUGCUUAAAUUGUUCCAGUUUUGGCGCCUGGGAGCUCUCUCUAUUGGCUCCUGUUUCCCUUUGCCAUAAUUUUUUGUUAUGUUUUUGAGCCCUUCCUUACUUUCUGGCACUAAAGCUGCUCCAGACUCAUCUUGCAUAUUUUCUUCCCAGCCCUAGAAUCAGCCGUUUCUCCAGGGAGCCCGGUUCCUUUCACUGGAGAAUGUUCUUAGAAACAGAUCUGGAUGGUGGGUUUGCAUGUUGCUAUUGGGGACCCACUACCAGGGGGCAGAGCUAGGAAAUACAUGUAUGUAUCCUAGCCCGUGUAUUCACAUAACUGUAAUGAUUCUGUAUCUAUCAUUGGUAUCUAUAUUAAGUUAAACAUGAGCUCAUGCUACCGUCUCUGACUCUAACACAUUCAUACAGUUCAUUCUAUCCUUCUCCCUUUGCUUAUCUAUAACCUCCCACUUCAGCAGUGAAAAACCUGGCUCCUACCAUCUGCCAUCCAUUUACUUAAUUGUUCAAUGUUAGUACACAUGUACUGGGGUUUCAGAAUUGUCAAACCAUACCCCUGUGAGACACAGCUCUACCAACUGGAGGGCAGUGCUUAUGGACAGCUCUUUUCAUCUUGAGUCUUCUUGUUUCCAGUCAUUUCCAAAGUUGUUUAGGUCAGCACCUCUAGUCUCCAUGCCCUUCAAUGAGAUCCCUCGUACGUUUGUAAUACAAUUAGAUUCUGUUGCCAUCAUCUGCAUUUUAUCCUGUGAUUCCCCAUCCUCCUAGU